RNAcentral lists this ribosomal RNA (253 nucleotides) under uncultured bacterium. RNAcentral's name for it is "partial 16S ribosomal RNA". It matches the Rfam family "Bacterial small subunit ribosomal RNA", at positions 524 to 776 of the family's 1533-position model. The record is from RNAcentral.
UACGUAGGGUGCAAGCGUUAUCCGGAAUCACUGGGCGUAAAGCGUGCGUAGGUGGCGCGUUAAGUGAGAUGUUAAAUCGUGUGGCUCAACCAUAUCGAUGCGUCUCAUACUGGCGUGCUAGAGGACAGCAGAGGCAAGUGGAAUUUGUAGUGUAGCAGUGAAAUGCGUAGAUAUUACAAGGAACACCAAUGGCGAAGGCAGCUUGCUGGGCUACUCCUGACACUGAGGUACGAAAGCGUGGGGAGCGAACAGG